GAAUAGGAUUGAGGACCAGGAGCACAAAAGGAAAGAACUGAUGUUCAGCUUUUGACUGAAUAGGAUCCUGCAGUCCUUAGCCAGAUAAUGGUCUUGAAAGCCAGGGUUUGUCGAGAGACGGGAGAGGCUUUCUAAGUCCCUGAAGUCCUCUUUGCAUAUCAAGAGCGCAGCCUGGCUGCCUCGAGAUCACAGGAGGAGUGUGGAGAGGAGGAAGGGCAGGACGAGCGGGAAACUCCCAGACCAGGAGAAGGAGGUGGGCGUCUGCCAUCAGAGGAGGGGGCAGUAGGGACCACCGUGACCGUGUGAUGGAUGACGAUGCUUACAAGGCCAUGGUCUACUUGGGGACCCUUCCAGCAUGUGACAGGAGACAUCCGUGGUGAUUAGUCAGGGGCUGCAUGGGAACAGCCUGCUGACUCCCGGGCGUGUCACGGCAGUGGCUUCCAAGCCAUCACUCCCUCCAGCACAGGAGGAGGCCCAGAUGAAAAGCCUCAAAGAUGCCUGGCAAAUGAUGUGCAGGAAAGAAUUAUGCAUCUUGUUCCAAUUAAGAUGUUGGAAGAGAAGAGCAUCUAAUUGUCCCACAAUUACCUUUAUUUAUCAAACUCAGAAUGAAGUGUGGUUGUGAAGCAUCUCAGGAGAGCUGUGUGGAGCUGGGGACGGUCCAGGCUCUGACGGGCAUCCUAGCCACGGCAGAAGAGAAGGCCAGCCUCCCGGGCCCCGGGGAUGAGCAGGGGUAAGGCCCUGCACAAAAGGGCCAGGUGGGCACCAGUCCUUCCCUCCAGGUGGCAGAUAUAGAAGGCAAGUGUUGGCCCUGACAAGUGGGCCCAGGGCACGUGAAGUCGGCAGCAGGCGUGAAGGCCUGGAGGAAAAUGUUGGAAAAGUUCAAUUCUCCUCGGUCAAUUCUGACCUUGAGUGCCUUGGAAUCCAAGGAUGGAGCAUUUUCCAGAUCCAAGAAUGGAGAGUUUUCUAGAGCCCUGGACAGCGUUUUCCCAGACCUAGGAAUGGAACUUUCCAGAGCUGGGGAUUGAGAAUUCUCUUGAGCCAGAAAUAACAUGCCUCAACUCAUUGUCGUAGGCUUUUGCAGAGGGAGGCAGGGAAAAAUGUGAAGAUGGAGGGGCCAGGUCUCGGUCAGAGUGGAGAAGAGCCUCUCCUCCAGAGGCAAAGGGUGCUGGCAUCCGGGCUGCUCGAUCUCUUGGGGUAUCCACAGUCACGCCGAGACCCCAUCAGACUCCACCCUUCGUGAUUACAACUCCCAGACAGCAGGAGGCAAAGCUCAUCAGCGUCUCAGAGACACAAACCUGCUUGAAAAUGGUUCCCACUCCCAGAUGAUCCAGAGCUAUGCCCCAAGGUCAAUGUGAAAGCUCAUUGAAUCAUUUUACUGCAGUGGAGAAAAAAGUCUAAAAGCAAGUUCCCUGCCUCAACCCUAUGGACAGAAAGGACCUCAGGGCCUCUUUUGUCAACUGGGGUGUUGAGCUUGCCUCCUUUCAUCAUUACGUUGGUAAUUUGUGCACUCGCCCUAAAUAAAUAGUAGUGAAUAGAUCUAGGUAUUGGAACGGAUAGGAAUUUGGCAUCAUCAGAACCAGCUUAGGAUCCAUUGGCAAGCUUCUGUUCAGUCCAGGCUUCAGUUUUCCCAUUUGACAAAUGGCAACACCGUGGUUCAUCCUGUGUGUGAAGCGCCCCAGCAUGGCGACCAGGGGGUGGCGGCCUUCUAAGAAAUGUAAGACGCAGGCAGUGAGGAGAAAUAAGCACCGGCCUGUCUGGGGGCCGACUCUCCUUAAUGGGGUGUCCUGGGAGACCUCACUUCCUGCCCCGACCCUCAAGUUCCCCCUCUGUGGGCAUCAAGACUUAAGAGAGAUGACAACAGCUACUACCCAUGGCAGCUCUGACGUGUAUUAACAGUCUGGGAGCUGCACUUUGGCCCUCGGAAAGGCGCCCCAAAGCCCGUCCUUUGGGCAGGAGGCGCUGAAUCAUUUCUCAGCGUCUGUAAUGACAUCCGUCAACAUCUUGUUGGAGGGUCAGGUGAGGUUCUCGUGGUGUAAAUAUGGUGACUCGGCCAAGGACCCAGGAACGGUGGACACCUCCUGGCCGAUCAAUCCUCCUCCCUCGAGAUUUCCCGGGCAGCUAUGCGUGCAAGGAUGAAAAACAAAUGGGAAAUUAAAGUGCUCCAGUGACAAGAGAGGAGUGAGGGCCGCCUUCGCUCUCCGAGGCGGGCUCUCUGCCCAGAAGGGAGGGACAGCAUUUCUCAUCACACGAACCAAAUCUGUUUCUGAAGACGUGUUGGGAAGCGACACUAUAGAGACGAUACGGUUUCUCUUGCCCACCCGAACUCCCAACCAAUUAACCCAAAUAUCUCAAAAACACCGUUAAACACCUAUACGACAGCCUCGCAAGGAUUUCUGCCUAAAACAGAGCAUUGUAAACUGAAAUCAAUAAAAAGUUA
Molecule: long non-coding RNA, 2437 nt
Filed under: Equus caballus (horse)
Lineage: Eukaryota; Metazoa; Chordata; Mammalia; Perissodactyla; Equidae
Description: lncRNA (ENSECAG00000045379.1)
Source: RNAcentral